GGAGGAAAGCAGGGGAUCGUAAGACCUUGCGCUUUUGGAGUGGCCGAUGCCUGAUUAGCUAGUUGGUGGGGUAAGAGCCUACCAAGGCGACGAUCAGUAGUUGGUCUGAGAGGACGACCAGCCACACUGGGACUGAGACACGGCCCAGACUCCUACGGGAGGCAGCAGUGGGGAAUUUUGGACAAUGGGCGAAAGCCUGAUCCAGCAAUGCCGCGUGAGUGAAGAAGGCCUUCGGGUUGUAAAGCUCUUUCAGUCGAGAAGAAAAGGUUGCGACUAAUAAUCGCAACUUAUGACGGUAUCGACAGAAGAAGCACCGGCUAACUACGUGCCAGCAGCCGCGGUAAUACGUAGGGUGCGAGCGUUAAUCGGAAUUACUGGGCGUAAAGGGUGCGCAGGCGGCUCUGUAAGUCAGAUGUGAAAUCCCCGGGCUUAACCUGGGAAU
This 442-nucleotide ribosomal RNA is filed under the name uncultured ammonia-oxidizing beta proteobacterium. RNAcentral describes it as "bacterial SSU rRNA". It matches the Rfam family "Bacterial small subunit ribosomal RNA", at positions 198 to 621 of the family's 1533-position model. Lineage: Bacteria; Pseudomonadati; Pseudomonadota; Betaproteobacteria. The record is from RNAcentral.